This 510-nucleotide ribosomal RNA is filed under the name uncultured bacterium. RNAcentral describes it as "partial 16S ribosomal RNA". It matches the Rfam family "Bacterial small subunit ribosomal RNA", at positions 28 to 507 of the family's 1533-position model. The record is from RNAcentral.
GACGAACGCUGGCGGCGUGCUUAACACAUGCAAGUCGAACGAAGAGCGAUGGAAGCUUGCUUCUAUCAAUCUUAGUGGCGAACGGGUGAGUAACGCGUAAUCAACCUGCCCUUCAGAGGGGGACAACAGUUGGAAACGACUGCUAAUACCGCAUACGAUCUGACCUCGGCAUCGAGGAUAGAUGAAAGGUGGCCUCUACAUGUAAGCUAUCACUGAAGGAGGGGAUUGCGUCUGAUUAGCUAGUUGGAGGGGUAACGGCCCACCAAGGCGAUGAUCAGUAGCCGGUCUGAGGGGAUGAACGGCCACAUUGGGACUGGGACGAGGCCCAGACUACUCCGGGAGGCAGCAGUGGGGAAGCUUCCGCAAUGGACGAAAGUCUGACGGAGCAACGCCGCGUGAGUGAUGACGGCCUUCGGGUUGUAAAGCUCUGUUAAUCGGGACGAAAGGCCUUUUUGCGAAUAGUGAGAAGGAUUGACGGUACCGGAAUAGAAAGCCACGGCUAACUACGUG